This 107-nucleotide microRNA precursor is filed under the name Pelobates cultripes (western spadefoot toad). The record is from RNAcentral. Lineage: Eukaryota; Metazoa; Chordata; Amphibia; Anura; Pelobatidae.
ACAAGCUUUCGGGAGAACCUCCCUUUCUCAAGUCUGAAGCAUUUCUGAGCAAAACGACACAUAGAAAUGCUUCAGACUUGAGAAAGGGAGGUUCUCCCGAAAGCUUG